Molecule: ribosomal RNA, 308 nt
Filed under: Escherichia coli
Lineage: Bacteria; Pseudomonadati; Pseudomonadota; Gammaproteobacteria; Enterobacterales; Enterobacteriaceae
Also listed under: 1 other name
Description: bacterial SSU rRNA
Rfam family: Bacterial small subunit ribosomal RNA
Source: RNAcentral
AAAUUGAAGAGUUUGAUCAUGGCUCAGAUUGAACGCUGGCGGCAGGCCUAACACAUGCAAGUCGAGCGGUAACACAGGGAGCUUGCUCCUGGGUGACGAGCGGCGGACGGGUGAGUAAUGUCUGGGAAACUGCCUGAUGGAGGGGGAUAACUACUGGAAACGGUAGCUAAUACCGCAUAACGUCGCAAGACCAAAGAGGGGGACCUUCGGGCCUCUUGCCAUCAGAUGUGCCCAGAUGGGAUUAGCUAGUAGGUGGGGUAACGGCUCACCUAGGCGACGAUCCCUAGCUGGUCUGAGAGGAUGACCAG